UACGGGGGGGGCAAGCGUUGUUCGGAAUUACUGGGCGUAAAGGGCGCGUAGGCGGUUGGAUAAGUCAGCUGUGAAAACCACGAGCUCAACUUGUGGCCUGCAGUUGAAACCAUCUGGCUAGAGUCCGGAAGAGGAGAGUGGAAUUCCUGGUGUAGCGGUGAAAUGCGCAGAUAUCAGGAAGAACACCCGUGGCGAAGGCGGCUCUCUGGGACGGUACUGACGCUGAGACGCGAAAGCGUGGGGAGCGAACAGG
RNAcentral lists this ribosomal RNA (253 nucleotides) under uncultured bacterium. Its description in RNAcentral is "partial 16S ribosomal RNA". It matches the Rfam family "Bacterial small subunit ribosomal RNA", at positions 524 to 776 of the family's 1533-position model. The record is from RNAcentral.